Molecule: ribosomal RNA, 490 nt
Filed under: uncultured bacterium
Lineage: Bacteria
Description: partial 16S ribosomal RNA
Rfam family: Bacterial small subunit ribosomal RNA
Source: RNAcentral
AUUGAACGCUGGCGGCAGGCCUAACACAUGCAAGUCGAACGGUAACAGGAAGAAGCUUGCUUCUUUGCUGACGAGUGGCGGACGGGUGAGUAAUGUCUGGGAAACUGCCUGAUGGAGGGGGAUAACUACUGGAAACGGUAGCUACUACCGCAUAACGUCGCAAGACCAAAGAGGGGGACCUUCAGGCCUCUUGCCUUCGGAUGUGCCCAGAUGGGAUUUGCUAGUAGGUGGGGUAACGGCUCACCUAGGCGACGAUCCCUAGCUGGUCUGAGAGGAUGACCAGCCACACUGGAACUGAGACACGGUCCAGACUCCUACGGGAGGCAGCAGUGGGGAAUAUUGCACAAUGGGCGCAAGCCUGAUGCAGCCAUGCCGCGUGUAUGAAGAAGGCCUUCGGGUUGUAAAGUACUUUCAGCGGGGAGGAAGGGAGUAAAGUUAAUACCUUUACUCAUUGACGUUACCCGCAGAAGAAGCACCGGCUAACUCCGUG